GGGCGAUUAGCUCAGUUGGUAGAGCGCUGUGUUCACAUCGCAGGUGUCACUGGUUCGAGUCCAGCAUCGCCCACCA
Molecule: transfer RNA, 76 nt
Filed under: Nordella sp. HKS 07
Lineage: Bacteria; Pseudomonadati; Pseudomonadota; Alphaproteobacteria; Hyphomicrobiales
Description: tRNA-Val
Rfam family: tRNA
About the family: Transfer RNA (tRNA) molecules are approximately 80 nucleotides in length.
Source: RNAcentral